Heterocephalus glaber (naked mole-rat) is the source of this 394-nucleotide long non-coding RNA. The record is from Ensembl. Lineage: Eukaryota; Metazoa; Chordata; Mammalia; Rodentia; Bathyergidae.
CUUGAGAGCCAUUCUUCUACGUUUGCUUUUCUCCUGGGCUAGGAGCACUCGGAACCACAGGGCGCGGGCUGGGUGGGGUCAGCAGGGGCCGGCGGGGUCAGCGGGCGCACACACAUUCCCGUCAUGCUCUGCUGUCUCGGUCCGGCUUCGCCCUCGACGCUGACUCUGCCACGAAGCAGUAUGGGCUGCGUUCCCAGGCUCCCAGAAAACUGGCUUUUGAAAAUUACGACCACUUAACAGCUUUUGGCAGUCUCUGUGUGGAGGCGACUGAAAGGGAUAAAUUGUGUGAAAAUUGUCACCAUACUUGGCAUUUGAGGCCACUGUCUCAGAAGAGUAGCUGUUGUACAAAUGAUCUGCUUUGUCAAGAGCUGGCGGAAAAUAAAGAUGAGCUUCU